GAUGAACGCUGGCGGCGUGCCUAAUACAUGCAAGUCGAGCGAACAGACCAGGAGCUUGCUCCCCUGACGUUAGCGGCCGACGGGUGAGUAACUCGUGGAUAAACUAACUAUAAGACUGGGAUAACUUCGGGAAACCGGAGCUAAUAACGGAUAAUAUAUUGCACCGCAUUGUUCCAUAGUUAAAGACGCUUUUUCUGUCACUUAAAGCUUGCUCCGCGCAUCAUUAGCUAGUUGGCAAGGUAACGGCUUACCAAGGCGACGAUGCGUAGCCGCCCUGAGCGGGUGGUCGGCCACACUGGAACUGAGGAAGGGUCCAGACUCCUGCGGUGGGCAGCGGUACGGAAUCUUCCGCGAUGGGCGAAUGCCGGACGGAGCACCGCCGCGUGAGUGAUGAAGGUCUUCGGAUCGUAGAGCUCUGUUAUUAGGGGAGAACAAAUGUGUAAGUAACUAUGCUCAUCUUGACGGUACCUAAUCAGAAAGCCACGGCUAACUACGUG
RNAcentral lists this ribosomal RNA (497 nucleotides) under uncultured bacterium. RNAcentral describes it as "partial 16S ribosomal RNA". It matches the Rfam family "Bacterial small subunit ribosomal RNA", at positions 28 to 507 of the family's 1533-position model. The record is from RNAcentral.